GAACGCUGGCGGCAGGCCUAACACAUGCAAGUCGAACGGUAACAGGAAGCAGCUUGCUGCUUUGCUGACGAGUGGCGGACGGGUGAGUAAUGUCUGGGAAACUGCCUGAUGGAGGGGGAUAACUACUGGAAACGGUGGCUAAUACCGCAUAACGUCGCAAGACCAAAGAGGGGGACCUUCGGGCCUCUUGCCAUCAGAUGUGCCCAGAUGGGAUUAGCUUGUUGGUGAGGUAACGGCUCACCAAGGCGACGAUCCCUAGCUGGUCUGAGAGGAUGACCAGCCACACUGGAACUGAGACACGGUCCAGACUCCUACGGGAGGCAGCAGUGGGGAAUAUUGCACAAUGGGCGCAAGCCUGAUGCAGCCAUGCCGCGUGUAUGAAGAAGGCCUUCGGGUUGUAAAGUACUUUCAGCGGGGAGGAAGGUGUUGUGGUUAAUAACCGCAGCAAUUGACGUUACCCGCAGAAGAAGCACCGGCUAACUCCGUGCCAGCAGCCGCGGUAAUACGGAGGGUGCAAGCGUUAAUCGGAAUUACUGGGCGUAAAGCGCACGCAGGCGGUCUGUCAAGUCGGAUGUGAAAUCCCCGGGCUCAACCUGGGAACUGCAUUCGAAACUGGCAGGCUUGAGUCUUGUAGAGGGGGGUAGAAUUCCAGGUGUAGCGGUGAAAUGCGUAGAGAUCUGGAGGAAUACCGGUGGCGAAGGCGGCCCCCUGGACAAAGACUGACGCUCAGGUGCGAAAGCGUGGGGAGCAAACAGGAUUAGAUACCCUGGUAGUCCACGCCGUAAACGAUGUCUACUUGGAGGUUGUGCCCUUGAGGCGUGGCUUCCGGAGCUAACGCGUUAAGUAGACCGCCUGGGGAGUACGGCCGCAAGGUUAAAACUCAAAUGAAUUGACGGGGGCCCGCACAAGCGGUGGAGCAUGUGGUUUAAUUCGAUGCAACGCGAAGAACCUUACCUGGUCUUGACAUCCACAGAAGAAUCCA
This 982-nucleotide ribosomal RNA is filed under the name Salmonella enterica subsp. enterica serovar Enteritidis. Its description in RNAcentral is "bacterial SSU rRNA". It matches the Rfam family "Bacterial small subunit ribosomal RNA", at positions 31 to 1002 of the family's 1533-position model. Lineage: Bacteria; Pseudomonadati; Pseudomonadota; Gammaproteobacteria; Enterobacterales; Enterobacteriaceae. The record is from RNAcentral.